Molecule: non-coding RNA, 21 nt
Filed under: Caenorhabditis elegans
Lineage: Eukaryota; Metazoa; Nematoda; Chromadorea; Rhabditida; Rhabditidae
Source: RNAcentral
UUCAGCAAGUCUAAUUGAAUA